This 30-nucleotide non-coding RNA is filed under the name Rattus norvegicus (Norway rat). The record is from RNAcentral. Lineage: Eukaryota; Metazoa; Chordata; Mammalia; Rodentia; Muridae.
UCCCNGGUAGGCCAGAGCACAGCUUUACAU